RNAcentral lists this unclassified non-coding RNA (353 nucleotides) under soil metagenome. Its description in RNAcentral is "partial contains 5.8S ribosomal RNA, internal transcribed spacer 2, and large subunit ribosomal RNA". The stretch from base 1 to 120 matches the Rfam family "5.8S ribosomal RNA", at positions 35 to 154 of the family's 154-position model. The record is from RNAcentral.
GAUGAAGAACGCAGCGAAAUGCGAUAAGUAAUGUGAAUUGCAGAAUUCAGUGAAUCAUCGAAUCUUUGAACGCACAUUGCGCCCGCCAGUAUUCUGGCGGGCAUGCCUGUUCGAGCGUCAUUACAACCCUCAGGCCCCCGGGCCUGGCGUUGGGGAUCGGCGGAAGCCCCCUGCGGGCACAACGCCGUCCCCCAAAAACAGUGGCGGUCCCGCCGCAGCUUCCAUUGCGUAGUAGCUAACACCUCGCAACUGGAGAGCGGCGCGGCCACGCCGUAAAACACCCAACUUCUGAAUGUUGACCUCGAAUCAGGUAGGAAUACCCGCUGAACUUAAGCAUAUCAAUAAGCGGAGGA